CGUAUAAAGUACUUGAAAUCAAUGCUUAAGUAAAAGUACAUGUACUGUAUCUUACCAGAAAAUGAUUUUGGUAGAAGUUAAAGUCACCUUUUAGAGCAUCACUUGAGUAAAAGUCUUAAAAAGUAUCUGGUAUUUACUGU
Molecule: long non-coding RNA, 140 nt
Organism: Etheostoma cragini (Arkansas darter)
Lineage: Eukaryota; Metazoa; Chordata; Actinopteri; Perciformes; Percidae
Exons: 4
Source: RefSeq, a predicted model, not a curated record